This 2890-nucleotide long non-coding RNA is filed under the name Homo sapiens (human). RNAcentral describes it as "HSALNT0150870". Lineage: Eukaryota; Metazoa; Chordata; Mammalia; Primates; Hominidae. The record is from RNAcentral.
ACAGUGAGUUGUAUAUUGCCAAUUAAAAUGAUUGACUGCUAUAUCUUCCUUUGUAAAUAUUUUAGGCAUUAUUUAUUUCCUGUUAGAUACACUACUUCUAUUAUGCUACCACCCUCACUUCCCUUCUUUCUUUUCUACAAGUAUAGUUAGCUUAACUUUUGCUAAAAUAAAUAUUUACUAAUAAACAUAAUUAUGGCUGCAUAAAUAUUAUUUCUAAGCCAAUUAGUAUGCCAUGAUUACAUUUCCUUUCUUAUACAAUUUCUUUAUUUUUCCUAAAGUUAUUAAUUACCUAACGUUUAUAAAAUUUACUUAGAUUUCUCUCUACUUUAUAGUGAUUCUCUCUAUAGACUCUUGCAGAGCUAUGAGCCUCCUCUUAAUGCUAUUAUGUGUUCCACAUUGUCAAAUGCAUGAGAUAAUGUAGCAUUUCUUUCUCUCUUUUUUUCCUAGAUACUUGCCUCCUCAAGUUUUCUGUCUUCCUACUAUAAUUGAGGCUGAUUAUCUCUAAGCCUGCAGCAUAGCUAUUAUCCCACACUUUCCUUUUGCCAUCUUUGGAACUUUCCUUAACCUUUCUCCUGUGUUGGAUUCCUUGUAUCAUCUAUUUCACAGCUUACUCUUUUUUUAUUUACUCAUUACUAUGGUAAAUAUUCUCCAUCAGCCUCUUGAGAAAGGAUAUAUAGGAAAUGUUAAGUGUCGAGUCCUUUCAUAUUUCAAAACGUCGAUAUUCUAAUUCACAGUUGACUAAUGGCAUUUGGAUGGUUUCCAAUUUUCCUCUCUUACAAACUCAUGCUUCAGUUAAGAUUCUUGUAACAUCUCCUUCCAUAAGUGGAUAACAUUUUCUGUUACAUGCACUUAGAUGUAAAACUGUUGGAUGUUAAAAUAGGAAUAAGUUUAAUUAUAUAAGAUAUUGCCAAAUUCCUCUCUAAUGUAAUUUCUACCAAUUCAUACCUCAUGAGAAGGGUUAAAGUGUUCUCAUUUAGGUUAUUUUUAAUUCAUUAUGCUGGCCACCCAAUGAGCCCUUUCAAUCUGGAGAUCCUUGUCCUUUAGUGCCAAGAAAAUAUCUGGCAGUAUUAUCUUAAUAAUUUUUUUCUCAAUUUUUACUCUUCCUAGAAGUCGUAAUAAACUCAGACCAACCCUCUAAAUACAUUAUCUGAUUUUCUUGCUUUUAUUCUUAUAUUGUUCUAUUUUUAAGUUUUUACCAUUUAGCUUUAUUGACCUUCUUUAAUGUAUGUUUUUCAAUUGACAAAAAUUGUAUAUAUUUAUUAUGUAUAUCAGGAGUCCCCACCCCCAGACUAUGGACCGGUACCAGUCUGUGGCCUGUUAGGAACUGGGCCAUGCAGCACGAGGUGAGCGGCAAGUGAAGGAAGCAUCAUCUGUAUUUACAGCUGCUCCCUAUCACUCACAUUAUUGCCUAAGCUCCACCUCCUGUCAGAUCAGUGGAGGCAUUAGAUUCUCACAGGAGUGCAAACCCUAUUGUGAACUGCACAUGCAAGGGAUCUAGGUUGUACACUCCUUAUGAUAAUCUAAUGCCUGAUGAUCUGCCACUGUCUCCCAUCACCCCCAGAUGGGACAAUCUAGUUGCAGGAAAACAUGCUCAAGGCUCUCACUGAUUCUACAUAAUGAUGAGUUGUAUAAUUAUUUCAUUAUAUAUUACAACAUAAUAAUAAUAGAAAUAAAGUGCACAAUAAAUGUAAUGUUCUUGAAUCACCCUGAAACCAUCCCUUUCCCACGGCCUGUGGAAAAAUUAGCUUUCACAAAACCAGUCCUUGGUGCCAAAAGGCACUGAUGUACAUAAUGUUUUGAAAUAUGUAUACAUUGUGGAAUGGUUAAACCAAGCAAGUUAACAUAUGCACUAAUUCCUUUAUCAUUUGUUCGUGGUGAGACACUUAAAAUCUACUCUCUUAGCAAUUCUCAAGCAUACAAUACAUUGUUAUUAACUAUAGUCACCAUGUUGUACAGUAGAUCUUGAACUUAUUCUUCUGUUUAACUGAAAAUUUUGUGUCCUUUGACCAAAAUGCAUUUGUCUGACAUUUGUACACCUUCUUUUUCUUGGAAAAUUUUCCAACUUUUUUUCUUUGUUGGACAUUUUUAACUUGAGUUAGUGUAUUUUCCAGGAUCCUUUUCUUCUUUGCUAAUACUUUUUUUUCAAAAUCAUCUUGUAGCCUCUUCAUGGAGGAAAUAUAUUUUCUCAUAUUUCUAAGGAUAUUAAUCAUAGUUGGAUUUUUUCUUCUUUAUGUUUUCUAUGAUGUAUCUGUUUAAUUUUUAAAUUCCUUUUAUCUUAUUUAUUCUUUCUUUUGAUCAGAAUUGUUUCUUAAACAUCUGGCAAUCCUUGGGUCCUCCUUUAUAUUUUAGAAUGAUACACUCAAAUAUAUAUGGGAGCCUUUGUAGCCACUGGCUGAGUCUGACAACCGGUAGGCUUUAACAGAGAAUGCACGAAGACUUCUGUUAGUACUUCUAUCUCUUGCCUUCACUAUGGAUCAACCACAUUGUCUACCAUACUUGUCCCUUACUCUGGAUUCUCUCUAAUCCAGAAAUAAGCUGGUUUCCUUCUGAUCCAGAAAAUAAACUUCAGGUCUCCUUAGGAAUGUACUGUGGGAAGGGAAGAUCGGUCUUCAAGUGGUUGUCAUUCUCUAAUAUUGGCACAGUGAAUGGUGUCCAACAUACAUUAAGAAUCCUCAGGGUUUGGGCUCCUCUAACUCUUCAAAACAUUGACAUCGCAAGCCCAGUGCGUUCAGAAAUCACAGGCGAAAUCUCUAACCAAAAAUUAAGCCAAGCUGUCCAUUGGCUCAUGGUUGGAUAUGUAAAAUCUCCAAUAUUCGCCUAGAAGCAGGAGGCACAAGGUGAAUACUAAGGCCUUCUUAUGGACUGCUAUCCUGAAAGGCAAUCACAAAAC